UACGGGGGGGGCAAGCGUUGUUCGGAAUUACUGGGCGUAAAGCGCACGUAGGCGGAUCUUUAAGUCGGGGGUGAAAUCCUGGAGCUCAACUCCAGAACUGCCUCCGAUACUGGAGAGCUUGAGUCCGGGAGAGGUGAGUGGAACUGCGAGUGUAGAGGUGAAAUUCGUAGAUAUUCGCAAGAACACCAGUGGCGAAGGCGGCUCACUGGCCCGGUACUGACGCUGAGGUGCGAAAGCCAGGGGAGCGAACGGG
Molecule: ribosomal RNA, 253 nt
Filed under: uncultured bacterium
Lineage: Bacteria
Description: partial 16S ribosomal RNA
Rfam family: Bacterial small subunit ribosomal RNA
Source: RNAcentral